This is a long non-coding RNA of Clupea harengus (Atlantic herring), 1095 nucleotides long. RefSeq lists it as uncharacterized. The transcript has 2 exons. NCBI's taxonomy places the organism in Eukaryota, Metazoa, Chordata, Actinopteri, Clupeiformes, Clupeidae. The record is from RefSeq and is a predicted model, not a curated record.
GAAUGUUUGUUCUUCCUUGUCGCCCUUAUGCCUGUGCCCACAAAGUAUACAAAUGACCACGUAGGCUACACAUACAGGCCCGAGUUUUAUUGGGUCUCAUUCGAAAUACUGCUGCGAAUGCAGAAGGAAAUAAAUUCUACAUAGUAAUCGAUGCUGAUAGGAUGUCAUGCUGUUGUUUAAAUUGUACGUGUCCGUGCGAACGAAUGAUAAGCACUGAUGAAUUCCGACAAGAGACGGUCAACGGGCGUCAAUUGUACACGGAAGACAGCGCCCAAACCGUUGAAAGUACUAGGAUGGAUAUUGCGCUUCUGAAAGAGCAAUAUAACUCGAUUAAAGAGAAACAAAGACAGGAGACCCGCGUUGUUGUCUUCAAGAACGCAUCAAACAAUGAAGAGACCGUUGGUAAAUCCCCUGUCAGUGUGGUUCCCAUGCACCAAGAGGUGAGGAGGAGGCCGCUUCAAAGGCAACAGUCUUUGCGGGAAGCCCAGUCUGACAUUUUCCAGGAUCAAGGUAACUCCCUAUGGCGCACACACCUGGGGCUCCACAGGAACAGCUGCACGGUCGAUGGCGCUGGCUGGCUCUGGCACUGGCUCUGGCUCAUACCAUGACCAGGACCCCUCAGCCAUUCAAAGCACUCUGUUUAGAGACUCCUCUUCGGAGAGCACUGAAUCAAGUGAGAAACUGACCUGCGACCCUGAGGAACCUGAGGGCUCUGUGAGCCUGGGCAGUAGCACCAGUGGACAGGAGGAAGGGGAUGGCAAAUUCUCCAGGAAAUUUUCUGCGCCAUCUGUUCUGUCCAGACAGUUGAGCCUGGUCAGGCACCUUCCCUCACCAGCCCAUUCGACCACUCGCCACUACCCAUUCCCACAGGUUAAAUGCCCAAGGAAGUCCGAGGCGGCCAGGAGGCUUGGCAUGUACUCAUCAUUUUAGCCACAAGGUGGAGGGCACAUCAAGCCUGUACAGUAAAACUGCAUGGCAUGACGCUAAGAUGGCUACUGCCUCAGAAUUGCAAUAUCUUAUACACAAUACAAUACAGAAACGUGUGAUCUGGGAAUACUUUGCUGUGAAAUAAAUCUCCCUGCAUAACCACUGAAA